CUCUCUCAUUCUUUGUGUGUUGUCCAAACAACACACACUGAGACACAGAGAGAGACAUAAACAAAGGUUGUUUUCAUGGAUUCCAUCAAUAGGAAUAACCAUAGAGAAAUAAAAUCACUUUCCAUGAUUCGGUUACAAGAGAAUAUCAUUUUGCUUCUCUCACAUUGGUAUGCUCUUCAAAUGGCCAUUAAGAACCAAUGGGGUGGUUGUGAUUCCAUCCACAAAUCACAUGAACUUGCUUCUAAUUUAUUCUCAUGGCUCUCCAAAUCCAAUGAACCAAUUUGUGUUGAAGAUUUAGAAAAUAUACUCCAUGAAUUUAUGUUGCUUACAUUCAAUACAGAGAUAGAAGAUGGUAGCAUUGAACAGGUAGCCGAACAAUUGAUAGCUAUCCAUGAAGAUUGCUUGUUACGUCACUCAUGUUAAUUAAUGUAUUUAUGAAGGAAGCUUAGUCAGAAAAUAAUUAACCUUUCAUUAAGGCUGUUCUGGAUUCAACAAUAGAUCCACCUCCCGCUCUCCUACCAAGCUAGACUAUGACUCUGAUAUCAUUUGUCAGGGAGUUCAGAAAAGUCGAGAGCAACAACGAGCGUCCAAUGCUCCAAGACCACAAAAGAGGGAGACACCACAUCUCCAACAAAAACCUUAAGGUAUCAGAUAUAUAGAUCCUCUCUAUUAUCAAUGCAACAUUCCACUCCUUCAUAGGCGAUGUGAGACUUAACUAUUCAUACU
Vicia villosa (hairy vetch) is the source of this 726-nucleotide RNA transcript. RefSeq lists it as uncharacterized. NCBI's taxonomy places the organism in Eukaryota, Viridiplantae, Streptophyta, Magnoliopsida, Fabales, Fabaceae. The record is from RefSeq and is a predicted model, not a curated record. The transcript has 4 exons.